Molecule: long non-coding RNA, 4169 nt
Organism: Varanus komodoensis (Komodo dragon)
Lineage: Eukaryota; Metazoa; Chordata; Lepidosauria; Squamata; Varanidae
Exons: 3
Source: RefSeq, a predicted model, not a curated record
CAGUGGGUUUUCUGAACCUUCGCUCUUCCCGGAGCCGGCCUUGCUUGUUAGUCUUACAAAGAGAUCCCAAUUCGGGUGGAGAGUGAGGUUUGCGGAAGUGGGCUGUCUUUCGUAGCGUACUUGAACAAACAGGAAGGAAACGGAGUGGUGGGCAGAAUUACGGCGUGGGUUCACUUUUUGACAUUAUUAAAGCAAGCGCUUGGAAUCCAUAAAAGAAAGGAGAAGGAGAGCAUCUGACUACCCUAAGCCUUUCCAAGUCGGGCUAAAUCUGCAGGCUAUCCACCUUUAGUGGGAGCAUCUCCAUAAGAGGACUUCCUUCGGAUUAAACAUGCAUGCCAGAGGCACGGUGGUUAUUAGUGGAAAUCGCUCGUGAAUUUGUCAAGAGGCGGAGGUGGGCUUCUAUUCUGGUCGUCUCAACAACUGAGUGCUAUUGCUCUCUUUUAAAGACACAGUCUGGCACAAAGCCCGAACAAAAUGUACUUGCUGUGUGUCCAAGCAGAGUGGCUGCUGUUCCUUAAGGACUGCAGCCCAAUUGAAAGGUUUUUUUAGGAGUAUGUUCAGAAUGAGAGAACCUUGUCUCUCGAAUAGCAGUAUGCCUCCUGGUGUACUUGGAAAACAGUUUAAUAAGUAGUUUUCUAAUGGAGUUGUCUUUGUGCAGGAUGUAGCCUUACUAAAUUUGAAUGUGAAGAGACGGGGGUAAUUGUUCAAGUAUGAUCUAGUUUCCAGUGCAAAUCCUACUCAGUUGUUGACAAAUGCCCCAAUAUAGAUAGGUAAAGAAGCAGUCUAGAGCAGCAGUUCCCAUCUGUUUUAUUUCCUACUGAUCAUUUGAAAUGUGUUAGGAAGCUUGGUGGACCAUGCAUAUUGUCGUUGUUCUACAAUCAAUGUACAGCCACACCUCAUUUGUAAAACAUUUUUUCAGUACUGGAAUUACUACCACCAGCACUGGGUUAUGAAGAUUGCAUGCCCUAAACCAGUGACUUGGUAGCCUCUUCAGUAAGCUGGCUCCCAACAACAGCUUUGAUCACCAUACUUAAAAUGAUUGGAAAGACAAGGCUAAGGAUAGAUAUUCUCAGUUAUUCCACAACCAGCUUACCUGAAUGAACCACAGUAUGAGAACCUCUGACCUAAAGCAAGCAUUUUCACAUUUUCUUGCAGAGGAAACCCAUUUUACAUCAACUAAUCAGUCAGCCAUGCAUCUCGGGACAUUCUAAAGUGUUGCAAAGAAUUCUAUAAAUUGUUCUAGAGCUCAGACUCUACCCAUGCACUGGCAGAAGAUACUGACCUUCAAUUACUUGGAUCUAAUACAGAAUUAGGUUUUCACUUCCAUGGUAACUGAGUCAAGCAGUCAAACAUCCUCUCAGCUUUGAAGCUUCAUAGGUGGAUGAGGAUCAUCCAUAGUGGUUUCCACCAGCUCCAAGGUUAUGUGGAGGAACAGUAAGUCUAGAAGGCAGGACGUUUGCAUUGCAGGCAUUAAGUGGUAUGUGGAGAAAGAAUCCAUGUGCCUGUCCUUGGCAGCAGCAAAACAACCACUGCAGUUUGAAAAUGGGACUUAGGCUACAGUUGUAAACAUAAGGGAAAAGUCUCAUUGAACUCAGUGAGACUUAUUUUGGAUAAACUUGUAUAAUCAGGUGGUACUAGGUGAUUUCCAUUCAUAGUUCCCAAAAUGGCUUCCACUUGUGGAUGGAGUUUCUAAGACAGAAUUUUCUCCUGUCCCUUCUCAAAAUCUAAGGGUAUCUUAUGACAAUGUUGAGUAUGUUACAUAUAACUAAAUAAACAUGUUUUAAAAUCUCCCUAAACACCCUUACAUUAAGGCUACAUUCCUAUACAAACUUACCUGAGAGUAAGGCCCAUUGGGGUAAUGUGGCUUAUGUCAGUUGGUAUGUAUAGGAUCGCACAAUAAAACUUCCCAUGCUUCAUACUUCUACAGUUUCAGUAUUUUCCAUAUUCUUAUCCACUGUUCCUUCUGUCCUGAAUGGGUCUUCCUCUCCUUCCAAGAAGAUCAGAACAAACAGCCUUCUAAGUUUCCAAUUGUUCCUUGAUGGAGAGACCACCUGCUGCUGAAGCAUAGAAAAGAAGCUCCAACAUUUCACAGCAUCAUUAUCAGCUGACUGGUGUAAACAGAUGAGAGAAAUGUAUAAAUCAGCAGCAGCAAUUUGUAAAUGAACAACAAGAAUGUGGCCGAGAGUUUGGACCCCUGGAGAUGUAGCGCUCAAACUCCUGAUUUAGCAAUAUUCAGUAGGUAUUGGUGUGACUCAGUUCUGACUGAUAGCUACUGAACAACAACAACCAUGGUAACCCUUCAAAACUCUACACUUUCUCGAUAUUUCCAAAACUAUUUUUUAGGUUGUGCAAAAAGCAGAGAAUGGAAAAAAGAAACAAGCUCCCAAAAUAUGACUAGGAGCUUUCAUCAUUGGGUGUGCAGUUUAGAAAUUUACUGAUUUAUUUAUAGAUAGUUGUUAUGUGCUAUCAAGUUGUUCCCAGUUUAUAGCAGCGCUAUGAAUAAAAGCCUUCCAAAAUGCUGUCCAUGAUAGCCCUGCUCAGCUCUUGUAAAUUCAAGGCUGUGGCUUCCUUUAUGGAUUCAGUCCAUCUUGUAUUGGGUCUUCGUUUUCUUCUACCUUCGAUGUUCCCUAGCAUGGUUGUAUUCUCAGGGAGUUUGCCUUCUCAUGAUGUGCCCAAAGUUUAAUCUCAAAAUAGAGAUUUGCAAAUUACCCAGUUCCCUGCUUUUUGUCCCAGCUGUUGAAGAAUUGUGGAGUUAAAAGUUUACAUAGUUUUGUGGAAUAUUGGCUGGUCCUAAUAAAGGCAUUACCCAACUGGGGAUUUCAUAAAUGCAGGUCAUAGUAAAUUAAUUUUAGCACUUACUUGUUUUCAUAGUGAACUGAGUGCUUCCAAGACCAAAUCUGACAAACUUAACACUGCAUUCAUUUCAUUGGUCUUUGUCUUAACUUAUGUACUUUCUACAGUUGUAAUACAGCUAUCUUGUUUGACUUUAUGAGUUCAAUUUAAUAAGCAUAGUUUGGCUUCCUUUUGCAAUAUUCAAAGUAUAUAUGCCUACUUGUUUUGGCACCAGGUCAAAACUUUCUUAAUUUCUCACCAUUUUAAUUGUCAGUUAUGCCAUUUGCUUUUAUAUAGGCUUUUAAAUUGUUUUGGUACAUGUAGAAUAGUUGUGAUUAUGCAUUGUUUUGUUCAUUGUUUGAUUGCAUGCCUGUCAAAUUUCAUUGUCAUGUGAAUGUUUAUGACAGGCGAGUCUGUUUUAAACCUGUUUUUAAAUUGAUUGUUAUUUGGUAUAUUUUUAAUUAUAUUCUGUAUACUCUGAGAGUAUUGUGCUAAUUCAAUGGCAUAGAAAUGCCUUAAAUAGAUAAAUAAUACAUGGUUAGAUAACUAGUCUAUACAAGAGAUAGUAGGCUCUGGAACACAAAAACUUAUGACGCAAUAAGUUUGUCAUUUUAUUUGACAAGGUGCAAUGCUAUGAACAGCUCGCUAAAGAAGGAUAUUAGUUACAGUGGAAACCUGUGAAUCUGUCAGUACUGGCAGCAUGACACUUUUUUUUGUCUUUUCCAUUUUACCUAGAUGGAAACUGAGUUUCUUAAAACACAAUCCUAUUCAAGUUUAAACAGAGGUAAAGGCCUACAACUCCCAGCCCUCCCCAGCCAGCACAGCUGGGAUUAUAGUCCUUUUUUCUCUGUCUCAACUUUCAUAUGGUUGCACCUUGGUGAUUAUAGUUGUAGCUAGUAGAAAUAUGGAAGGAGAAAACUGCAGUUCAGUCUGUUAACUUGCUUUGCUUCAACUGUAUUCCUUGAAAAAUAGCCAUACUAAAUACUCCGGUCUCUUUUUAAGUUGAUGAUUAAUUCCUUGCAUGCUCCAGAUGUUUACUUUUAAUCUUCCCUUUGGUUAUAUUUUAUGCAUUAUAUUCCAGAUUGAAUCCAACUUUUGCCCUUUUCAACUAAUUUUGGUGCUUUUUCAUCUUAUAAGAAUUAAAUUUAUGACUUUAAUUUUGUCAUAUUUACAAAGGAAAGGGUUACAAUACAUUUGCUGUUCUGUAUCAGGUGUUGAAUGAAGGGAAAAUCAAACAUCCAGUUAGUACAUAAAAUUAUUUACAUUAUGUAUAUUAUUACCAAUAAAAUUUUAAAACAGAAAAGAAUGUUAAAUGUGUUCAAUAUGUAAAAGCUUCU